UUUUUAUGAGAGUUUGAUCCUGGCUCAGGACGAACGCUGGCGGCGUGCCUAAUACAUGCAAGUAGAACGCUGAAGUCUG
This 79-nucleotide ribosomal RNA is filed under the name Streptococcus suis. RNAcentral's name for it is "partial 16S ribosomal RNA". It matches the Rfam family "Bacterial small subunit ribosomal RNA", at positions 1 to 78 of the family's 1533-position model. Lineage: Bacteria; Bacillati; Bacillota; Bacilli; Lactobacillales; Streptococcaceae. The record is from RNAcentral.